AUUGAACGCUGGCGGAAUGCUUUACACAUGCAAGUCGAACGGCAGCACGGACUUCGGUCUGGUGGCGAGUGGCGAACGGGUGAGUAAUGUAUCGGAACGUGCCCAGUCGUGGGGGAUAACGUAGUGAAAAUUACGCUAAUACCGCAUACGAUCUAUGGAUGAAAGCGGGGGAUCGCAAGACCUCGCGUGAUUGGAGCGGCCGAUAUCAGAUUAGGUAGUUGGUGGGGUAAAGGCCCACCAAGCCAACGAUCUGUAGCUGGUCUGAGCGGACGACCAGCCACACUGGAACUGAGACAAGGUCCAGACUCCUACGGGAGGCAGCAGUGGGGAAUUUUGGACAAUGGGCGAAAGCCUGAUCCAGCCAUUCCGCGUGCAGGAUGAAGGCCCUCGGGUUGUAAACUGCUUUUGUACAGAACGAAAAGGUUUCUACUAAUACUAGGAGCUCAUGACGGUACUGUAAGAAUAAGCACCGGCUAACUACGUGCCAGCAGCCGCGUAA
This 499-nucleotide ribosomal RNA is filed under the name uncultured bacterium. RNAcentral describes it as "partial 16S ribosomal RNA". It matches the Rfam family "Bacterial small subunit ribosomal RNA", at positions 30 to 522 of the family's 1533-position model. The record is from RNAcentral.